GGGGACGACCUGGCUUCGACGUGGGUUACAAAACUUAAGGUGCAUGUCGAGUAUGUUGGUUCUUCUCGUAAAACAGACUGACAAAAUGAUAGUUGCAAACGAUAACAACUACGCCCUA
RNAcentral lists this transfer-messenger RNA (118 nucleotides) under Methylophaga sp. RNAcentral's name for it is "partial transfer-messenger RNA". It matches the Rfam family "transfer-messenger RNA", at positions 1 to 119 of the family's 374-position model. From Rfam's summary of the family: Bacterial tmRNA, also known as 10Sa RNA or SsrA, is named for its dual tRNA and mRNA-like properties. Its role is to liberate the mRNA from a stalled ribosome. To accomplish this part of the tmRNA is used as a reading frame that ends in a translation stop signal. The record is from RNAcentral. Lineage: Bacteria; Pseudomonadati; Pseudomonadota; Gammaproteobacteria; Thiotrichales; Piscirickettsiaceae.